GAUAUUGUGAAAAAAGAGUCAAGCUUCACCCAGACAAUGUCAACACUUAGUAUGACCACAGGUGUGACUGUUGACAGGUCUGAUGCUUCUACAUCAGCAGGUUGGCCUGUUGAUACGCACAGUAGUACUGUUGUUUCUACUUC
Larimichthys crocea (large yellow croaker) is the source of this 143-nucleotide long non-coding RNA. RefSeq lists it as uncharacterized. The transcript has 3 exons. The record is from RefSeq and is a predicted model, not a curated record. Lineage: Eukaryota; Metazoa; Chordata; Actinopteri; Sciaenidae.